CUCGACCACACAGUCUGUUCGUCAGCAUCCAUGCGACCCCUUCCCUCUGACAUUGGCACCUUAGAUGCACAGUGAAGGACGGUGGAAGCCACUGCAAUGAUGCUAUGUCACGCCUGUCUUGUACUUGUACGGUCUUGCUGGGCCUAGAGAAGUGGUGGUACUGUUCCCCAGGGAUUCCCACCUACAGUGGCUGGCUUCGGUCUUCUGUCUUCAGGCUCCUCUCUCCCUUCGGAGCACCUCUUCCCUGUGCCUGUGGGAGAGCGCAGAGAAGCGCCUCAGAUGAAGGCGGAAGGGAGGGCACCACCUGUUGCUGGGCAACUGUGCCCCAACUCCCCUGCCCCAAGACUGUUUCUAAGGCAACCUGGGGGAUGUGGUCACUGUGGUGAGCAGGCGGGUUCCUGGCAACAGAGGUGGGGCCGGAAUGGGCAGUGGUUCUGUUGAACUUGGUGUCACCCCAUAGUCAGGCCCCAGAAUACUCACCCAGAGGCCAAGCAAGAGGAGACAGAGACUCUGUCCCACCCAUGUCCGUCCCCCACUCCUCCCACCAUGGCACCAAGGCACCUCCCUCGACCUGCUCUUUCCACUGCCCCGGCCCUGUCCCGCCCACUGAGCCCUGCCAGACCUGCUCUUGCCAUCCAGCCCGCACAUGCCCUCCUGCUUCAGCUAGCCUCCUCCACUCUUUUCAUGGACAUACAUCUCCAUGUCUUCAGACCAUUUAACUCCAGUUUUUGUUAGAAAAUAUCUAGCCCUGGCUGGUGUGGCUCAGUGGAUUGAGUGCUGGGCUGUGAACCAAAGGGCCGCUGGUUUGAUUCCCAGUCAGGGCACAUGCCUGGGUUGCCGGCCAGGUCCCCAGUGGGGGCAUGUGGGAGGCAACCGCACAUCAGUGUUUCUCUCCCUCUCUUUCUCCUUCCCUUCCCCUCUCUCUAAAAAUAAAUAAAAAUCUUUAAAAAGAAAAAAUUGAGAGGUGAAGCUUGGGUAACAAUAAUAUCAGGCCUCUGGGAAGAGUCCAGGGUCAAAAACAGUCUUGGGCAUGUCUCCAAGACUCCGAGCAUUGGCCAGCUAGGCCCCUUUCUCCUGCUGCUGAGGGUGGGAGGAGCCUGGGUGGGGGCACAGUGGAGUGUCAACAGCUCCUGGACUGGAGUCCUAUCAGAUUGUUUAGUUUGACUCAUUCACUGACAGAUGACAAGUAAGCCCCAAAUAAGGGAGGUGUCAUGUCCAAAGUCACAUAGCACAUGUACACAGGGAUGGGGGCAGCAUAGAUAGAAAUUUCUGGUCUGGCAAGCUCCCUGAAUGUAAUAAUACAACUCUUACUGAGUAUUAGUAUUCUGUUUUGCAAAAUGACAGCCUUUUAAUGUGAAAGGCUACAAAACUAUGUUGAAAUGUUAGUGUCUCACAGAAGGGGAUCACAGGGGCUGUCUGACUCAGAUUGCUCUGCCCUGGCGGUUUUGAGGAAAGGGCCGGAAGGGGCCCAGAAUGCGACAGGGGUGGGUGUUGGUGGAAAGGAAGAGCCCUGUGGCUCUGGGCCUUACAACAUGCAGGAACCUGAUGAAACUAGAAUUUGAGGAGGUUAUAAGCCUUAAAAUCUGAACUUAAUAUCACUGAACUGAACACUUAAAAAUGAUUAAGACAGUAAAUUUAAUGUUAUAUGUAUGUGUGUCAAUAAAAAAGUAUUUUAAAAAGUCUAUAUAAAUAAACCUGAAAAUUGUUAUGUA
Molecule: long non-coding RNA, 1712 nt
Organism: Phyllostomus hastatus (greater spear-nosed bat)
Lineage: Eukaryota; Metazoa; Chordata; Mammalia; Chiroptera; Phyllostomidae
Exons: 2
Source: RefSeq, a predicted model, not a curated record